This 253-nucleotide ribosomal RNA is filed under the name uncultured bacterium. Its description in RNAcentral is "partial 16S ribosomal RNA". It matches the Rfam family "Bacterial small subunit ribosomal RNA", at positions 524 to 776 of the family's 1533-position model. The record is from RNAcentral.
UACAGAGGUCCCAAGCGUUGUUCGGAUUCACUGGGCGUAAAGGGUGCGUAGGUGGUGAGGUAAGUCGGAUGUGAAAUCUCCGAGCUCAACUCGGAAAUGGCAUUGGAAACUACCUUGCUAGAGGAUUGGAGGGGAGACUGGAAUGCUUGGUGUAGCAGUGAAAUGCGUAGAUAUCAAGCGGAACACCAGUGGCGAAGGCGAGUCUCUGGACAAUUCCUGACACUGAGGCACGAAAGCUAGGGGAGCAAACAGG